Molecule: ribosomal RNA, 483 nt
Filed under: uncultured bacterium
Lineage: Bacteria
Description: partial 16S ribosomal RNA
Rfam family: Bacterial small subunit ribosomal RNA
Source: RNAcentral
UUGAACGCUGGCGGCAUGCUUUACACCUGCCAGUCGAACGGCAGCGCGGGCUUCGGCCUGGCGGCGAGUGGCGAACGGGUGAGUAAUACAUCGGAACGUGCCCAGUAGUGGGGGAUAGCUCGGCGAAAGCCGGAUUAAUACCGCAUACGACCUGAGGGUGAAAGCGGGGGAUCUUCGGACCUCGCGCUAUUGGGGCGGCCGAUGGCAGAUUAGCUAGUUGGUGGGGUAAAGGCCUACCAAGGCGACGAUCUGUAGCUGGUCUGAGAGGACGACCAGCCACACUGGGACUGAGACACGGCCCAGACUCCUACGGGAGGCAGCAGUGGGGAAUUUUGGACAAUGGGCGAAAGCCUGAUCCAGCAAUGCCGCGUGUGUGAUGAAGGCCUUCGGGUUGUAAAGCACUUUUGGCGGGAACGAAAAGGACUGUGCCAAUACCACGGUUCGAUGACGGUACCCGCAGAAUAAGCACCGGCUAACUACGUG